Mobula hypostoma (lesser devil ray) is the source of this 590-nucleotide long non-coding RNA. RefSeq lists it as uncharacterized. NCBI's taxonomy places the organism in Eukaryota, Metazoa, Chordata, Chondrichthyes, Myliobatiformes, Myliobatidae. The record is from RefSeq and is a predicted model, not a curated record. The transcript is spliced from 3 exons.
GCCGAAUGCAGCUGCCGUUGGCGGGUCUCCGGUUCGGGCGGCGAAGUGCCGGAGUAACAGUCACUUCGCGCAUGCUCACAGUCUCCAGGUGGGCGGUGUUUUCCUUUCCGCGCAGUGCUGAAGCGGAUCAUCUGCGGCAUCGGGAAAGGGCCCUCGCCUCCUGGGUCGGGGAGCCGGGGGUCGGGAUCACUGUCCGCAGGCCGAAGAUAUCAGUUUUCCCAUCGUUAGACCUGUGGUGAGAGAUUUAUUGGAAGAAAAACCCCAACUGGAGGCAAACCACGACUGAAGACGAGGGAACAGCAACAAGUGAACGAGCCCGAGGGUUGAGAGCAUCAACUGGAGAGAACCCAUCUGACUCGGAGAAUCCAGUGAUUCAGUCAGGGGAAAGUUUGGUGAGUCUCAUUUACUCAAACACUGGUCCUUUAGACAUUGCAUACUUGUACAAAGGAUGGUAGGAAAUAGUUGGAGUGAGACUGAAUGUUGCCAGAAGAACCAGUUAUGCCUCUGUCAGACCCAGUUGCAAUCACUCUAGGUCUGGUGAUGUGCUUCCAGCAGCCCAGCCCUUUAAAACCACUCCCAUUCUGUGGAAG